CUUCGGAUCUCAUUGGUUUUGGU
This 23-nucleotide non-coding RNA is filed under the name Arabidopsis thaliana (thale cress). The record is from RNAcentral. Lineage: Eukaryota; Viridiplantae; Streptophyta; Magnoliopsida; Brassicales; Brassicaceae.